CCUACGGGAGGCAGCAGUGAGGAAUAUUGGUCAAUGGACGAGAGUCUGAACCAGCCAAGUAGCGUGAAGGAUGACUGCCCAAUGUGUUGUAAACUUCUUUUAUAAAGGAAUAAAACCAGGCACGUGUGCCUUUUUGCAUGUACUUUAUGAAUAAGCAUCGGCUAACUCCGUGCCAGCAGCCGCGGUAAUACGGAGGAUCCGAGCGUUAUCCGGAUUUAUUGGGUUUAAAGGGAGCGUAGAUGGGUUGUUAAGUCAGUUGUGAAAGUUUGCGGGUCAACCGUAAAAUUGCAAUUGAUACUGGCAGUCUUGAGUACAGUUGAGGUAUGCGGAAUUCGUGGUGUAGCGGUGAAAUGCUUAGAUAUCACGAAGAACCCCGAUUGCGAAGGCAGCUUACUAAACUGUGACUGACAUUGAUGCUCGAAAGUGUGGGUAUCGAACAGGAUUAGAUACCCGGGUAGUC
Molecule: ribosomal RNA, 460 nt
Filed under: uncultured bacterium
Lineage: Bacteria
Description: partial 16S ribosomal RNA
Rfam family: Bacterial small subunit ribosomal RNA
Source: RNAcentral